UUGUGGCCAAUGUUUCCAACCACACAACUUAUACCAAGUUUCUCAUGUCAUGCUACUUGUACCAAUCUAAUUGCAAUGUAUCACUAAAAAUUAGAAACAAGAAAAAGGAAACAUAGAGAGAAAGAGAAGAAACUUGUGGAAAAAAAGAAGAAAAAGGAACUUGAAGAACUUAGAGCUUGGGUUUUCUUCGUCAUUUCAUCUCAUCAUUUCUCAACAACUUCUUCAUCUCUUUAGCAAGGUGGAUUUUAGGUAGUUCUGAGCAGGUGAAGGGUAAGGACAAGAUAGCUUGAUGUCCUUACUUGUUUGAUGUUUUUGAUGGCUUUUUCUGAUGUGUAGACAUCUCUCUUGAGAUCAUUAUAUAAUGAUCUAGUUCCUAGUUUAUAUUUUUGGGCACACUUGUAUAUAUUGUGCCAUGUUUGUAUUCAUUUUGGGCAUGUAAUAUGUACAAUGUUGCCACUAGGCACUUAUGUAUUUCAGUACCAACAUUACAACUAUGUAUAAUAGGUAAUUCUAUGCAUGUAUUAUAUAUGGAUGUUACAUUUAGAUUCAA
This is a long non-coding RNA of Lathyrus oleraceus (garden pea), 550 nucleotides long. RefSeq lists it as uncharacterized. The record is from RefSeq and is a predicted model, not a curated record. NCBI's taxonomy places the organism in Eukaryota, Viridiplantae, Streptophyta, Magnoliopsida, Fabales, Fabaceae. The transcript has 2 exons.